AUCUCAUGUGAUCUAGUUCCGGAUCAUUACAAUGCCCCUUGGAUACUUAAUCAACCUAUCAACCAAUUAUAGAGACAUGAUAGUUGGCUUUAAUUCUCCUAAGUUAAGUUGUGCAUAUGUUGAAUAUGGCAUCAAAUUGAUGCUUGCUCCCAUAUCCAAUAUGGCUUUAGUAACCUUUUUUUUAUCUCCCAUUGUAAUAUUGACGGUAAAGUUCCCAAGUCUUUCAUCUUAGGAGAUAAUUGUUGCUGGGGAACUGUACCUGUUGUUUCAGAUACUAUAACUUUUUCAUUGCUCCCAUAUCUAAUCUUGUUGGAAUUAAGUUUCUU
Molecule: long non-coding RNA, 326 nt
Filed under: Ricinus communis (castor bean)
Lineage: Eukaryota; Viridiplantae; Streptophyta; Magnoliopsida; Malpighiales; Euphorbiaceae
Description: long non-coding RNA (RCOM_LNC001030)
Source: RNAcentral